CUUUAUGGAGGAAAGGGCCACAGGGGGUGACGGGAUGACUCCUUUGAGGUCCUGGUCACAGACAGCACUGCCGCGCUCUCCAGGUGACAAAGUGGGACACGUCUUAGAGGGGAGAGACGUUAUCUUCUCUGGGUUUGCAAGGAACGUGGCUUCGCCUUGGUACCACAGGGACCCAGGAGCCCAGCAGUCGAGUCAGCAGAAGCGGAGCCAGCUGAAGCGGUGGAGCCGGCUGAGAGCAGGGGUUCCCGGCUGCGCCCAGGAGAAGGGAAGGAGAACAAGAAGAGGCAGGGCCCAGGCAGUCGCCGCCCCGACUGUGAGCACGCGCGCAGUUUGGUGUGAUUUUGGAGGAGGCAUUUGCUGUUUCUUAGAAGUUGGGAGAAAAACCAGAGCACACUAUGGUUGUUGCUGUCAAGGACCCUGCAAUUUUCUUAAACUUUUCAAAGUAUUGGAAGAAAAAAAAAAAAAAGAAAGGUAUUAAUGCAUUUAUUUUCUGUUCUAGAUUUGGCUAAGGGCAAUAUGUCCUAACUCUUGGGGUUUAUUCUGUUUCUAUUAAUAAAUUGUCAAUAGGGUCC
This 572-nucleotide long non-coding RNA is filed under the name Dasypus novemcinctus (nine-banded armadillo). RNAcentral's name for it is "lncRNA (ENSDNOG00000051397.1)". Lineage: Eukaryota; Metazoa; Chordata; Mammalia; Cingulata; Dasypodidae. The record is from RNAcentral.